Molecule: long non-coding RNA, 705 nt
Organism: Hyla sarda
Lineage: Eukaryota; Metazoa; Chordata; Amphibia; Anura; Hylidae
Exons: 3
Source: RefSeq, a predicted model, not a curated record
AGUUACUGGCAAUAAAACUCUUUGAAGUUCUUCAUUCAGAAAUUCUCCAAGGACACUGUGCGCUGUACGAUUAAUUGAAUCAAUAAAGGACCAAGAAGGGUGUCUAUGAACAACCAAGAGUCUGAACAUUCCUAUGUUCUUACAACUUGAUUGGAGUCUCCUGUGGUAAAUUCAGCUGAUUGGACAGAAUUUGUAAAGACAAAGCCCGGUCUAUAUAAGGUCUCAUAGCUGAGAAUGCAUAUAAGAGCAUAAAACCAAGCCAUGUGGAGUAAGGACUAUCUGUAAAGCUCAAAGAGCACUGUAGCCUCCAUAAUUCUUAAAGGUGUAACAAAUUGUUGAUUUGAUCACUUCUAAACUUGGCCAUGUAAAGAAAUAUUAAAAUGAAAAAAAAAUUAAAGAAGAAAAUUUCAAGAAGCUGUCAACAAUUCAGAGGAUCACAUUUUCUGGAACAGUUUUCAGUGUCUGUUUUUAUAUUAUUGACUCAACAUUGUGUUCCAUGUGAAAAUGCAGUUAAUGAAUGCCAGUAUUCUUCUGCCUUACAUCAUAAUGCUUAAUUUGAUCACAUUUACCAAUAUUUCCUGAAAUGGGAAAUGUUUUAUUUUGUAUUAUCAUUAUCAUAGUCAAGUCAAAUCAUUCAUUUGUUUGCUGUAUCUUUGCUGCCUAACUAUCUUUCCUCAUUAAAAUGCAAACUGAACACAAAUAGUC